AUUGAACGCUGGCGGCAUGCCUUACACAUGCAAGUCGAACGGCAGCACGGGUGCUUGCACCUGGUGGCGAGUGGCGAACGGGUGAGUAAUACAUCGGAACAUGUCCUGUAGUGGGGGAUAGCCCGGCGAAAGCCGGAUUAAUACCGCAUACGAUCUACGGAUGAAAGCGGGGGACCUUCGGGCCUCGCGCUAUAGGGUUGGCCGAUGGCUGAUUAGCUAGUUGGUGGGGUAAAGGCCUACCAAGGCGACGAUCAGUAGCUGGUCUGAGAGGACGACCAGCCACACUGGGACUGAGACACGGCCCAGACUCCUACGGGAGGCAGCAGUGGGGAAUUUUGGACAAGGGGCGAAAGCCUGAUCCAGCAAUGCCGCGUGUGGGAAGAAGGCCUUCGGGUUUUAAAGCACUUUUGUCCGGAAAGAAAUCCUUGGCCCUAAUACGGUCGGGGGAUGACGGUACCGGAAGAAUAAGCACCGGCUAACUACGUG
This 486-nucleotide ribosomal RNA is filed under the name uncultured bacterium. RNAcentral's name for it is "partial 16S ribosomal RNA". It matches the Rfam family "Bacterial small subunit ribosomal RNA", at positions 30 to 507 of the family's 1533-position model. The record is from RNAcentral.